AAUGAACGCUGGCGGCGCGCCUAAUACAUGCAAGUCGAGCGAGAAGACGUAGCAAUACGUUUGUAAAGCGGCGAACGGGUGAGGAAUACAUGGGUAACCUACCCUCGAGUGGGGAAGUAACUAGCCGAAGGUUAAGCUAAUACCGCGUACGCUUCUUGGACUUCGGUUCGAGGGAGGGAAAGACGAUGCCGAGGGUAGUCGCGCUCUUGGAUGGGCGUCAUGUCCUAUCAGCUUGUUGG
Molecule: ribosomal RNA, 239 nt
Filed under: uncultured bacterium
Lineage: Bacteria
Description: partial 16S ribosomal RNA
Rfam family: Bacterial small subunit ribosomal RNA
Source: RNAcentral